CUUAUAUAUAUGUAUUAUGGAUGUGGAAAUCUUAAGGUAAGUAUGGCAUGAGAAAUUCGCUUACUCCCUUGGAUUUGGAUAUGGAUGGGCGAGGUAGAUACGUGCAUUAUAUUAUUGCUAACUCUUGCCACAUACUGGAUAGGUAUGGGCGUUAUAUUAUUACUGACUCUUAUAGCAUAGAAUAAGAGAAAUUGUUAGAUUUCAGGGAGUCAGGUAUGAGGUCGG
Molecule: unclassified non-coding RNA, 225 nt
Filed under: Hevea brasiliensis (rubber tree)
Lineage: Eukaryota; Viridiplantae; Streptophyta; Magnoliopsida; Malpighiales; Euphorbiaceae
Source: RNAcentral